RNAcentral lists this ribosomal RNA (1369 nucleotides) under uncultured bacterium. Its description in RNAcentral is "bacterial SSU rRNA". It matches the Rfam family "Bacterial small subunit ribosomal RNA", at positions 28 to 1381 of the family's 1533-position model. The record is from RNAcentral.
GAUGAACGCUGGCGGCGUGCCUAAUACAUGCAAGUCGAGCGAACGGACGAGAAGCUUGCUUCUCUGAUGUUAGCGGCGGACGGGUGAGUAACACGUGGAUAACCUACCUAUAAGACUGGGAUAACUUCGGGAAACCGGAGCUAAUACCGGAUGAUAUUUUGAACCGCAUGGUUCAAAAGUGAAAGACGGUCUUGCUGUCACUUAUAGAUGGAUCCGCGCUGCAUUAGCUAGUUGGUAAGGUAACGGCUUACCAAGGCAACGAUGCAUAGCCGACCUGAGAGGGUGAUCGGCCACACUGGAACUGAGACACGGUCCAGACUCCUACGGGAGGCAGCAGUAGGGAAUCUUCCGCAAUGGGCGAAAGCCUGACGGAGCAACGCCGCGUGAGUGAUGAAGGUCUUCGGAUCGUAAAACUCUGUUAUUAGGGAAGAACAUAUGUGUAAGUAACUGUGCACAUCUUGACGGUACCUAAUCAGAAAGCCACGGCUAACUACGUGCCAGCAGCCGCGGUAAUACGUAGGUGGCAAGCGUUAUCCGAAAUUAUGGGCGUNAAGCGCGCGUAGCGGUUUUUUAGUCUGAUGUGAAAGCCCACGGCUCAACCGUGGAGGGUCAUUGGAAACUGGAAAACUUGAGUGCAGAAGAGGAAAGUGGAAUUCCAUGUGUAGCGGUGAAAUGCGCAGAGAUAUGGAGGAACACCAGUGGCGAAGGCGACUUUCUGGUCUGUAACUGACGCUGAUGUGCGAAAGCGUGGGGAUCAAACAGGAUUAGAUACCCUGGUAGUCCACGCCGUAAACGAUGAGUGCUAAGUGUUAGGGGGUUUCCGCCCCUUAGUGCUGCAGCUAACGCAUUAAGCACUCCGCCUGGGGAGUACGACCGCAAGGUUGAAACUCAAAGGAAUUGACGGGGACCCGCACAAGCGGUGGAGCAUGUGGUUUAAUUCGAAGCAACGCGAAGAACCUUACCAAAUCUUGACAUCCUUUGACAACUCUAGAGAUAGAGCCUUCCCCUUCGGGGGACAAAGUGACAGGUGGUGCAUGGUUGUCGUCAGCUCGUGUCGUGAGAUGUUGGGUUAAGUCCCGCAACGAGCGCAACCCUUAAGCUUAGUUGCCAUCAUUAAGUUGGGCACUCUAAGUUGACUGCCGGUGACAAACCGGAGGAAGGUGGGGAUGACGUCAAAUCAUCAUGCCCCUUAUGAUUUGGGCUACACACGUGCUACAAUGGACAAUACAAAGGGCAGCGAAACCGCGAGGUCAAGCAAAUCCCAUAAAGUUGUUCUCAGUUCGGAUUGUAGUCUGCAACUCGACUACAUGAAGCUGGAAUCGCUAGUAAUCGUAGAUCAGCAUGCUACGGUGAAUACGUUCCCGGGUCU